CGCUGGCGGCGUGCCUAAUACAUGCAAGUCGAGCGGAAUGAUGAAGAAGCUUGCUUCUUCUGAUUUUAGCGGCGGACGGGUGAGUAACACGUGGGCAACCUACCUUGUAGAUUGGGAUAACUCCGGGAAACCGGGGCUAAUACCGAAUAAUCCAUUUUGCUUCAUGGCGAGAUGUUGAAAGACGGUUUCGGCUGUCACUACAAGAUGGGCCCGCGGCGCAUUAGCUAGUUGGUAGGGUAAUGGCCUACCAAGGCGACGAUGCGUAGCCGACCUGAGAGGGUGAUCGGCCACACUGGGACUGAGACACGGCCCAGACUCCUACGGGAGGCAGCAGUAGGGAAUCUUCCACAAUGGACGAAAGUCUGAUGGAGCAACGCCGCGUGAGUGAAGAAGGUUUUCGGAUCGUAAAACUCUGUUGUAAGGGAAGAACACGUACGAGAGUAACUGCUCGUACCUUGACGGUACCUUAUUAGAAAGCCACGGCUAACUACGUG
RNAcentral lists this ribosomal RNA (494 nucleotides) under uncultured bacterium. Its description in RNAcentral is "bacterial SSU rRNA". It matches the Rfam family "Bacterial small subunit ribosomal RNA", at positions 34 to 507 of the family's 1533-position model. The record is from RNAcentral.